CAACAUUGGUGCUGGAGAUGC
RNAcentral lists this non-coding RNA (21 nucleotides) under Arabidopsis thaliana (thale cress). The record is from RNAcentral. Lineage: Eukaryota; Viridiplantae; Streptophyta; Magnoliopsida; Brassicales; Brassicaceae.